This 417-nucleotide ribosomal RNA is filed under the name Triticum aestivum (bread wheat). Its description in RNAcentral is "partial small subunit ribosomal RNA". The record is from RNAcentral. Lineage: Eukaryota; Viridiplantae; Streptophyta; Magnoliopsida; Poales; Poaceae.
AUGGCAAAGUAUUGGUGGAGCAGUUCGAUCAACAAGAGGUCUCUUCACUGGAUCUCUUGGAAGGAAUUGGCAAAACCAAAAUGUCAUGGAGGGAUGGGUUUUCGCGACCUCCACAUAUUCAAUCUGGCACUUCUCGGGAAACAUGGUUGGCGCUUCAUGACUAAUCCUACCUCACUUUGUGCCAGAGUUUUGAUGGGUAGAUACUUUCCAGACACUGAUUUCCUACAGGCUAUAGCACCAAAGGCCGCUUCGGCUACUUGGCGGGCAAUCAUCUCUGGAAGGGAAGCUUUAUUAGCGGGGAUUGUUCAGCGUGUUGGGGGUGGUACUUCAAUUAAUCUGUGGACAGAUAAAUGGAUCCCCACAACACUAACCAGAGCCCCCUGCUCAGCCGUCGGGCACAAACAUCACUCAAGUUAG